Molecule: RNase P RNA, 440 nt
Filed under: Spirochaetaceae bacterium
Lineage: Bacteria; Pseudomonadati; Spirochaetota; Spirochaetia; Spirochaetales; Spirochaetaceae
Description: RNase P RNA component class A
Rfam family: Bacterial RNase P class A
About the family: Ribonuclease P (RNase P) is a ubiquitous endoribonuclease, found in archaea, bacteria and eukarya as well as chloroplasts and mitochondria. Its best characterised activity is the generation of mature 5'-ends of tRNAs by cleaving the 5'-leader elements of precursor-tRNAs. Cellular RNase Ps are ribonucleoproteins.
Source: RNAcentral
GGAGCAGGUCGGAAGAGACUGUCGCCGCAGAGGCAAUCAUUGCGCUCCGCGGAGGAAAGUCCGGGCUCCAGAUGAGCAGGGUACCGGGUAAUUCCCGGGAACAGCGGUUUCCCGUAUUCCGUUGUGACAGAAAGUGCCUCAGAAACCAGACCGCCUUUGCUGUCGCUCGUCGGCUGCGAAGGUAAGGGUGAAAGGGUGGGGUAAGAGCCCACCUGUUGUCCGGUAACGGACAAUGAUGGUAAACCUUACCCGGAGCAAGACCAAACAGUGCUGGUCGGUUGCUCAGCCGACGCAGGCGUCGAUUCCGGCGUCUGCACCAGUGCGGGUAGGUUGCUGUAAACAGAGCGGUGGUAACGCCUGCCUCUGACAGAUAGAUGACAGUCACGCCGACAGAAAUCGCUGUCGGUCACACUGAACCCGGCUUACCACCUGCUCCGAAA